This 331-nucleotide ribosomal RNA is filed under the name Bacillus sp. TE204. Its description in RNAcentral is "bacterial SSU rRNA". It matches the Rfam family "Bacterial small subunit ribosomal RNA", at positions 74 to 396 of the family's 1533-position model. The record is from RNAcentral. Lineage: Bacteria; Bacillati; Bacillota; Bacilli; Caryophanales; Bacillaceae.
AAGAGCUUGCUCUUAUGAAGUUAGCGGCGGACGGGUGAGUAUCUCGUGUUUAACCUGCCCAUAAGACUGGGAUAACUCCGGGAAACCGGGGCUAAUACCGGAUAACAUUUUGAACCGCAUGGUUCGAAAUUGAAAGGCGGCUUCGGCUGUCACUUAUGGAUGGACCCGCGUCGCAUUAGCUAGUUGGUGAGGUAACGGCUCACCAAGGCAACGAUGCGUAGCCGACCUGAGAGGGUGAUCGGCCACACUGGGACUGAGACACGGCCCAGACUCCUACGGGAGGCAGCAGUAGGGAAUCUUCCGCAAUGGACGAAAGUCUGACGGAGCAACG